Molecule: non-coding RNA, 21 nt
Filed under: Caenorhabditis elegans
Lineage: Eukaryota; Metazoa; Nematoda; Chromadorea; Rhabditida; Rhabditidae
Source: RNAcentral
UAUAUCCCUCCUCGUCGUGUU